UCGCCGGCGAUAAUCGCCACCCUCCAACAGCCAGCCGGAGAGCAGCAGAUCCGGCCACCAGCCAGCAGCCGCUGGCAGCGUUCCUCUUCCCCGCCUCUCUCCCUCUUUCUCGCCUUUCCUCCCUCCUCCCUUUCUCCCUCUCUCGCGACCCCUCUCCCUUUCCCUUUCCCUUUCCUUGUUCUAUCUUCCCCUCUCGCCUUCCUUGCCGCCUCCCCGCGCCUCCCAUCAUUGUCAGCAGCAGCAGUCCCCGACGACAACUCCUGCGCUCGGCCAGCAGCUGCGAA
Molecule: unclassified non-coding RNA, 284 nt
Filed under: Hevea brasiliensis (rubber tree)
Lineage: Eukaryota; Viridiplantae; Streptophyta; Magnoliopsida; Malpighiales; Euphorbiaceae
Source: RNAcentral